UGGUGUAGCUCUUCCUAAUGUCCUCCAAGGGGGUAUGUGGUCCCCAGCUCCUUUAUUUUAGUUGGAAAGCCCUGAUCUAAAAUAUCAAAAAGUCCAUUGAAAUGGUACUGCUGGAUUGUGAUAGCAAUACACGAAGUCCCUGAGACUGGUUGAUGUAAUAGGUUCAGUCCUAAAAUAGGAAAAUAUCCUUUACUUGUCCAGUGCACCUUUCAGAGAGCUGCUUAAUUUUCGUUCUGGUAGUGAAUAAAGUGAUGCUGGUUCCUCUACACCUGUAACAUUUUUUAGGGUCUAAACCAUUCUAAAACUGAAUUAUUCUGUUAACCUUACAACUGGCUUAGUUCAGUAUAGAUCAAAAUACUGAUAUACAGCCAUAUGAGAAAAUUGGCCACAGGUUCUUCAGUGGAAAACAACACACAGCCCCUCAAAAUUGCAGCACAAUCUAUUUAUUAACCUCUUUUGUGAGCUGUCAAUGGUAACUCAGAGGACAAAACAGUUUUGGCACUUAAAUAAUGUUAGAGGUACUCUAUUGAGUGCUUUGCCCUUGGUUUGUAGAAGAGAUUGAUUAUGAACAGCUGGGCUACUAUACAAAGAAGGGGCUCUCCCAGAUUUCAUGGGCAAAGAUGCUUCCUAAAAAAAGAAGAUAGAGCCCAGAGGGUAUGCAGUUGUGCAUAACACAAAUUGCACAGGGAACCCUAAGAGUCAGCUGGAAUAGGGACCUUUCUUCUCCUGAGAUCCUCACAUAUCCACCUUCUCUGGUUGCAGAAGACUUAUGGAAUUCAUCAAGGUGGUAUCAGAUCCCACUGCAGUCCACACAGUUCAUCCUUAGAUCUAUCCACAGCAUCUUCUGAUUGCUUCCUAUAAAUGUAAGAACCCUGCUCCAAGUGUUUUCUGGUCCACAACAACUUUCUUUGAAUGAAGAAGGUUGUUUCAGAGAUGAAGGUGCAGUUGAAGAUAAACAGUUAUGUCCCCCUGUCCCAAAAUGACUUUUCCAAUCUUACAGAUCUUUGUGCCCACAUUUGAAUAACUGAUUUGUUACUCUCCAAUACAGCAUCUUGCACAGGUUAAUAAACAGCUGUCUAAUUAACUAUAGCAAAGAGUGUAAUUCAUGGAGAUUCUCUGAACAAUAUACAGCUCCAGGAAAGAGAUAAAUCUCUAAUCCAGCUCCAGCUGGCUACAGCCAGGACAGAUUUUAAGACAGGGCUGAGACAGGCACUGAAGGUCAUAAAGGGACUGAACACCAAAACCAGUCCCUGACAGAGGACAGGCAUGUAGAGGACACUGGAAGCCUUCCCUGGUGAGAAGCAACUACAGCAUUUGCUGCUUUUCCUUAGCAGUAAAGAUGUCCUAAUAGUGUUAAAGUGAUGUUGUAUAUGCCCUAGUUUUGAUACUGCCUUUCUACUUGGUCUUAGCACAGCAAAUUCCCAGUGUGUGUCACAUUGCUGUUUGAUCUUCU
Molecule: long non-coding RNA, 1453 nt
Organism: Gavialis gangeticus (Gharial)
Lineage: Eukaryota; Metazoa; Chordata; Crocodylia; Gavialidae
Exons: 2
Source: RefSeq, a predicted model, not a curated record